UUCUGUGGCCAUCUAUGAGCAGCAGAGACAAACAGGGAGUUGUUUCUGUUACUAUAUAUGGUAGUGGGUGACAUACUUGUUAGAAGAAUAGAAAACAAGAAAGUGAGAUGGGAGUUUGUGGUGCCUGAGAGGAGCAGCUUUGAGGACUGACUCCCUGAGUGCUUUCCCUUCAUUUGGAUGUCCUAGGGAAAAUCCUUCACAGGUUAUCUGUGUUCCAGCAUGUGUUAAUAGCUAUGCUUCAGAGUGCCAUGGUGUAGAGGAGGAGUGACUUUCGUUGAUUACCAACUAACUGUUAACCACUCAGAAGGGUGUUGGUGGCAAGGACUCAUCUUGGCAAGAGAGGAUGGGUGAGAACCAGACUGGAUGAGCUCUCCUGGGAACAGAAGAGUGCCGUGUCCACUCCCACUCUUUACACCUGCAGAAUUAAUAAGAACAUGGGCCUUUGCCUGGGGAAGAUUGGAACUGGCUGGAGGGUUUCAAGGGGGUGCUAGUCAAGCGAUCCACUUGCCAAGAAACUGUGAAUGGGAGGAAGCCAUCUGUGAAAGUCAAGGGAUGGAGUGGGGGGUGGGGAACAAAUUAAAUAAUUGAAAUCCUGGAGAGGAAGUUAGGUCAUAUCAGUGGUCUCAGACCAGGUGGUCAGUCUCUCAUUGUUCUCAUUUCUUCUUGUGGAGGAUUUUGAGGGAAAAUGCAGCUGGAUGGUCAAAGGUUCCUUCCCUAUUACAGGUUCAUGGAGGCAGAAAGUCUCAUCAUUUUACAGGUAGGCAAAUUGAGGCUAGGAACUUGAGAUUCCCCCCCCCCAAGAUCAUACCCUGAUUGGCUGCUUCCAAGCUGGACCACUCCAUCAUGGGGACUAAGUUGCUAUUUUCCCUGAUCCCAGAUUUGGGGAUGGGCCAUAAGUCCCUGGAUUCUUUCACUAGUAAAUGGGGUUUUGAUGAGAACAUUUUGAUGAGAUGAACUCAGAAGUCAUCUAGUCCAAUCUGCUGACUGUACUGAGAACUGAGGCCCUCCCCCCAGAAGGAAAUGACUUGCCUGUAUGAACCCAGAUCUUUGGACUCUCACUCUCAUGCUUUCUAUUCUACAUAGUCCCUCCCUCUCCCUAUCUUGGCUAAUGGAUUAAAGGAUGCACUGAUCCUCAGGAAGAUGGUUUCUAUCUUUUACAAACAACCAAAGGAUCAUAGAUUUUUUAAAACUUCAGAGUACAAUUAAUUCCCUCCAGUCCAUCCUUUUCAUUUUGAAAAGGAAGAAGCUAAGACCUUGAGAGAAAAAGUGACCUGAUGAAGAUUACACAGCCAGAAAGCAUCAGAGCCAGGAUGAAUAGCACCAAAGCCAGUCAGUAUAAUCUAAUCAACAUUGUAUUAGCACCUACCAUGUGCCAGGCACUCUGCUAAGUACUGGGGAUACAAUGAAUAAAAAGAAAGACAAUCCCUGCUCUCAAAGAGUUCACAAUCUAAUUGGGGGAGACAAUAUACAAGAGGAAGCUAUCAGUUGAUGAGCAAUUAUUAAGUGCUUACUAUGUUCAAAAUGCAGAAACAUGAAAUUAUCUAUAUCAUUGCUAUUGUAGUCUUUUGUAUAAAGAACCCAAGAAGACCUGGGUUCAAAUUCCACCUUCAACAACUAACCUUGAAAUUAACUACAGGCAUAUUACCAAAAGUCCAUCAGUAAAAUGGGAAUGAUAUAAUUUAUUUUAAUUAACCUUUUAUGGUUACUGUGGUGCUCCAGAAUUAAAAUUCUUUCCAAAUUUUAAAGCACUCCAUGAAUGCCAAUUAUGAUCAUCAUCAUCAUUAUCACAAUCAUCAUCAUCAUCAUCAUUAUCAUCAUCAUCAUUGCUGACCCUCCAACCUCACCCAGGACGUUUCUAUUCCGAGGAUUAGGAGGAGCCUCAAAGAUUCAUCAUCUUUCAGCCUCAAAUGCCAGCUCCUUUUGGGGGUGUGGUUGCCCAUAAUCGAGUCUUGGGAGUAAAGUUGGCAAUUUUGCCAGCCCACAGUCCCCCAGGGCUGAGUGGGUAGUGAGCGAAAUAAACACAAUCCAACCCAUCGGGUUUGUCCUAUUUGUCCAGCAUGAGCCGUUCUUGGCGCUUGCUGAGUGGGUCCUUACAAGGUUGAAGUAGCUGGUGGCUUAUUCCUUGAAUCUACAACAAACCCUCCUUUCGCUCAAUAGUCUUUUAGAAUUAAGAUAUUAAUUCAUUGAGUAGUGUGCUGGGUCCUGUGCUAGAAGCUUGGGGUGUGACACCCCCCCCCAAAAAAAAAGAGAAGCUCUGGUCUUGCCCUAGAUUGGAUGUUUAUUUUGUUGUUACAUUAUAAUCUAAACACUUUUCUUGGCCUCAUUGAUACCAGCAAUCCAGGAUUUCCUGUAAAGUCUUACUAGCAUUCACAUAGAACCCAGGAGGGGCACCAUCAUGUUUACCAUGGCCGGCAUCUCUCCCUUCUGAGUCUUCCACUGUCUAAUCAUUCAUCACUUGCUUCCUUUGGAGGCAAUUGUCCAUGGAGCAGUCCUUGGGUGCUGGGCCAGUCUGGAAUCCCCUCCCCCUCUCUCGGUUCAUUGGCAAGCAUGGUCCUGUCUGGGAGACGAUGGUGUUGGCCAUGAGUGUUCAGGUGCUAUUUGUCAUUUGUGGAUAUAAACAAGCCCCAGAGUCUGUCUAGUCUGUCUGGGCCAAAGGCUGGGCUCCCUCCGUCUUGUCCCAUUGUAGCUAGGGAUAAUGAGAGGGCUGGGCAGAGAAUGGGUAAAGGAAGCAGGCAGAGCCAAAGCCAACAGAGACCUCGAAGCCGGAAGGCUUCUGGCAAAGGACUGUUUACACUUGCGCAGCUGAAAGCACCUAGUGUCCAGUGGUUUGGGAUUUCAACACACAGGGGUACCAGAUCUCUAACACCACCACCUCUGGGAUUCUCCCCAUCCUCCCAUCAAAAUUGAGCCAUGGAGAGCAGCCUCUGGCUCUGUCCAGGGCCAGUCACCAACGGUCAACAGAGCAUUGCAGAUGGCUCUCUGCCCCCCCCCCCCAGGACAUUUAGCUUUAUAAAGAGGCAGUUUGGCAUGAUAAUAAUGAUGGCGGUGGUGAGGGUGUUUAUAUAACCCUCUAAGGCUUGGAAAGUAAUGUCCAUCAGUUAUCAGUGGCUCCUCCCAAUAAUCCCAAUAAUGAAGUAAGUUCUAUUAUCACCGCCAUUUUACAUCUGACCUCAGACUCUUCAUAGCCUUUUGACCCUGGGCAAUUCCCUUAACCCUGUUUGCUUCAAUUUCCUCUUCUGUAAAAUGAGCUGGAGAAGGAAAUGGUCAACAACUCCAGUGUCUUUGCCAAGAACACCCCAAAUGGGGUCAUGAAGAGCCAGACAUGACUGAGAAAGCAAUAGCAUUUUAUGGAUGAUGCAAUUGAGUCGGAGGGAUACAAGAGUCAGGGUGUGAACUUGAGUCUUUUGACUUUAAAUCCAACACUUUGCAUAUUCUACCUUUUAAUGUCAAUAUUGCUUAGAGACAUUAAUGAAAAUAAACCAUUAGUUAUACAUUGUAUUCCUUUGCUCGAUCAAUAGGUAUGAUUCUUCGGUUCUGUGGAGGGGAAUGAGAAAGGCUAGAAAACACUAUAUUUGAUGGGAAGUCCUAGGUUCAAAUCUGACCUCAGACACUUCCUAGCUGUGUGACCCUGGGGAAAUCACUUAUCCCCCACUGCCUCGCCCUGACCAUUCUUCUGUUGGAACCAAUACACAGUAUUGAUUACAAGACAGCAGAUAUGGGUUAAAAAAAAGUGGGCAGACCAGGCUAGAAGCUUGGAUAUAGUUAUUUUGUUUAUCUACCAUCUUAUAACCAAUAACUGCAGAAGAGAGGUAAAGGCUAGGCAAUGGGGGGUGUCUUGACCAGGGUCACAUAGCUAGGAAGUAUCUGAGGUCAGAUUUGAACCCAGGACCUCCCAUCGCUGGGCCUGGCUUGCAAUCCACUGAGCUACCUAGCUGCCUCCACUUGUCUACUUUCCAACUUUAGGAACUUGGACAAAUCAACCUUGCUUGAG
Molecule: long non-coding RNA, 3991 nt
Organism: Monodelphis domestica (gray short-tailed opossum)
Lineage: Eukaryota; Metazoa; Chordata; Mammalia; Didelphimorphia; Didelphidae
Source: RefSeq, a predicted model, not a curated record